Molecule: ribosomal RNA, 497 nt
Filed under: uncultured bacterium
Lineage: Bacteria
Description: partial 16S ribosomal RNA
Rfam family: Bacterial small subunit ribosomal RNA
Source: RNAcentral
GAUGAACGCUGGCGGCGUGCCUAAUACAUGCAAGUCGAGCGAACAGACGAGGAGCUUGCUCCUCUGACGUUAGCGGCGGACGGGUGAGUAACACGUGGAUAACCUACCUAUAAGACUGGGAUAACUUCGGGAAACCGGAGCUAAUACCGGAUAAUAUAUUGAACCGCAUGGUUCAAUAGUGAAAGACGGUUUUGCUGUCACUUAUAGAUGGAUCCGCGCCGCAUUAGCUAGUUGGUAAGGUAACGGCUUACCAAGGCAACGAUGCGUAGCCGACCUGAGAGGGUGAUCGGCCACACUGGAACUGAGACACGGUCCAGACUCCUACGGGAGGCAGCAGUAGGGAAUCUUCCGCAAUGGGCGAAAGCCUGACGGAGCAACGCCGCGUGAGUGAUGAAGGUCUUCGGAUCGUAAAACUCUGUUAUUAGGGAAGAACAAAUGUGUAAGUAACUGUGCACGUCCUGACGGUACCUAAUCAGAAAGCCACGGCUAACUACGUG